This 419-nucleotide ribosomal RNA is filed under the name uncultured eukaryote. Its description in RNAcentral is "bacterial SSU rRNA". It matches the Rfam family "Eukaryotic small subunit ribosomal RNA", at positions 592 to 1018 of the family's 1831-position model. The record is from RNAcentral.
CAGUAGCGUAUACUAAUGUUGCUGCAGUUAAAAAGCUCGUAGUUGGAUUUCUGGUUGAUAAUUUUGGUCCGGUUAGUUUAACUAACAUGAGUAUCAUGUAUUAUCUGCCAUCCUUUCAGGGUUCUAGGGUUUCGGCUCUAGGGUUCUGGAUCUUUUACUUUGAAAAAUUAGAGUGUUUAAAGCAAGCUUGCGCGAUGAAUACAUUAGCAUGGAAUAAUAAUAUAGGACUACGGGUUCUAUUUUGUUGGUUUCUAGACCUGAAGUAAUGAUUGAUAGGGAUAGUUGGGGGUGCUAGUAUUGAGAGGCCAGAGGUGAAAUUCUUGGAUUCUCUCAAGACUAACUUAUGCGAAAGCAUUCACCAAGGAUGUCUUCUUUAAUCAAGAACGAAAGUUGGGGGAUCGAAGACGAUCAGAUACCAU